GGCUAACGCUGGCGGCGUGUCUUAGCCAUGCAAGUCGAGCGGACUUAUGGGGUAACUUAUAAGUCAGCGGCGGACGGCGGAGUAACACGUAGCUAACCUACCCUCUGGACGGGGAUAACCUACCGAAAGGUGGGCUAAUACCCGAUGUAGUCAUCCUGUAUAGGGGUGAUGAAAGGUGGGCUUCUGUUUACAAGCUCAUGCUGGAGGAGGGGGCUGCGGCCUAUCAGGUAGUUGGUAGGGUAAUAGCCUACCAAGCCGAUGACGGGUAGCCGGCCUGAGAGGGUGACCGGCCCGAGGGGCACUGAGAUACGGGUCCCACUCCUACGGGAGGCAGCAGGCUAGAAAUUUGGGCAAUGGGGGAAACCCUGACCCAGUGACGCCGCGUGGAGGACGAAGCCCUUCGGGGUGUAAACUCCUUUUCUCAGGGAAAAAGGAUGAUGGUACCUGAGGAAUAAGCCCCGGCUAACUACGUG
Molecule: ribosomal RNA, 473 nt
Filed under: uncultured bacterium
Lineage: Bacteria
Description: bacterial SSU rRNA
Rfam family: Bacterial small subunit ribosomal RNA
Source: RNAcentral